GACGAACGCUGGCGGCGUGCUUAACACAUGCAAGUCGAACGGAAAGGCCCUGCUUUUGUGGGGUGCUCGAGUGGCGAACGGGUGAGUAACACGUGAGUAACCUGCCCUUGACUUUGGGAUAACUUCAGGAAACUGGGGCUAAUACCGGAUAGGAGCUCCUGCUGCAUGGUGGGGGUUGGAAAGUUUCGGCGGUUGGGGAUGGACUCGCGGCUUAUCAGCUUGUUGGUGGGGUAGUGGCUUACCAAGGCUUUGACGGGUAGCCGGCCUGAGAGGGUGACCGGCCACAUUGGGACUGAGAUACGGCCCAGACUCCUACGGGAGGUAGCAGUGGGGAAUAUUGCACAAUGGGCGGAAGCCUGAUGCAGCAACGCCGCGUGCGGGAUGACGGCCUUCGGGUUGUAAACCGCUUUCGCCUGUGACGAAGCGUGAGUGACGGUAAUGGGUAAAGAAGCACCGGCUAACUACGCG
This 468-nucleotide ribosomal RNA is filed under the name uncultured bacterium. RNAcentral's name for it is "partial 16S ribosomal RNA". It matches the Rfam family "Bacterial small subunit ribosomal RNA", at positions 28 to 507 of the family's 1533-position model. The record is from RNAcentral.